This 468-nucleotide ribosomal RNA is filed under the name uncultured microorganism. Its description in RNAcentral is "bacterial SSU rRNA". It matches the Rfam family "Bacterial small subunit ribosomal RNA", at positions 9 to 524 of the family's 1533-position model. The record is from RNAcentral.
GAGUUUGAUCGUGGCUCAGAGCGAACGCUGGCGGCAGGCCUAACACAUGCAAGUCGAACGAACUCUUCGGAGUUAGUGGCGGACGGGUGAGUAACACGUGGGAACGUGCCUUUUGGUUCGGAAUAACUCAGGGAAACUUGUGCUAAUACCGAAUGUGCCCUUCGGGGAAAGGAUUUAUCGCCAUUAGAGCGGCCCGCGUCUGAUUAGCUAGUUGGUGAGGUAAAGGCUCACCAAGGCGACGAUCAGUAGCUGGUCUGAGAGGAUGAUCAGCCACAUUGGGACUGAGACACGGCCCAAACUCCUACGGGAGGCAGCAGUGGGGAAUCUUGCGCAAUGGGCGAAAGCCUGACGCAGCCAUGCCGCGUGAAUGAUGAAGGUCUUAGGAUUGUAAAAAUUCUUUCACCGGGACGAUAAUGACGGUACCCGGAGAAGAAGCCCGGCUAACUUCGUGCCAGCAGCCGCCGUAAU